CCUACGGGUGGCAGCAGUGGGGAAUAUUGGGCAAUGGAGGAAACCCUGACCCAGCAACGCCGCGUGAGUGAUGAAGGAUUUCGGAUUGUAAAGCUCUUUCAUAAGGGAAGAACGAAGUGACGGUACCUUACGAAUAAGCCUCGGCUAACUACGUGCCAGCAGCCGCGGUAAUACGUAGGAGGCGAGCGUUAUCCGGAAUGACUGGGUGUAAAGGGUGCGUAGGUGGUGUGGCAAGUUAGUAGCGAAACUCCAGGGCUCAACCUUCGAACUGCUACUAAAACUGUUGGACUUGAGUGCAGGAGAGGCAAGCGGAAUUCCUAGUGUAGCGGUGGAAUGCGUAGAUAUUAGGAGGAACACCAGUGGCGAAGGCGGGUUGCUAGACUGUAACUGACACUGAGGCACGAAAGCGUGGGGAGCAAACAGGAUUAGAUACCCUGGUAGUC
RNAcentral lists this ribosomal RNA (443 nucleotides) under uncultured bacterium. Its description in RNAcentral is "partial 16S ribosomal RNA". It matches the Rfam family "Bacterial small subunit ribosomal RNA", at positions 338 to 795 of the family's 1533-position model. The record is from RNAcentral.